GGGGAAAGUGUUACAUUAUGAUCCUGAUACACAACCUUCACUCAGCCUCCCCCAGUGGUGGUGUGUUUCAAAAACAAUAGAACAUUGUCAGAUACACAAUGGGGCAGUGCUGCAACUAAACACAGAAGUACUUGGAAGUGGAUUUCUAAUGCUCUGGAACUGUCCGCCCAGCUAACUCUGUUCUCUUUCCCUCUGAAAGUUGUUGACCCCACCCCCUUCCACAUUCAAGCAGAGGUGACAAUGAAAACCAACUUUUUUGGUACCCAAGAUGUCUGCAAGGAGCUACUCCCUAUAAUAAAACCCCAAGGUGAGUCUGGCCCAGCUCCUCUCCCUCUCUGCACCUGCUCUCUGCCACUUGGAGGUGUGGCUCUGCUCCUUGGGGUCUGAUCUUUUGUAGCCAUUGUCGCUAUCUUUGCAUACCCAGCUCUUCUUUAACCUUUCAGUAUGAUUCCAAGGUCCCUUGGUUCCACCUCCUCACCCCUGAGGGGGUUUUAGGAUUCCAAUUAUCUCAAUACACUUCACAUACAUACUGACAUCACACUGCUCACAAUAGCCUGUCCCCACAAGUCCCCAGGUUGGACCCAAGUGCCUCCCUCAGCUCAGUCUCACAGCAGGUCUCAGCUGUCAAGCUGCACUCCUGCAAACCCUGAGGGGGCCUCCUUUCUGCAGCAGCCUUUUUUCCUGGGCUUCUACACCUCUUACAGAACCCUUCCCCUCCUAAAAAUCUUUUAGGAAAUAGAUCAGGUCUUUAGC
Molecule: long non-coding RNA, 753 nt
Filed under: Rattus norvegicus (Norway rat)
Lineage: Eukaryota; Metazoa; Chordata; Mammalia; Rodentia; Muridae
Description: long non-coding RNA NONRATT006475
Source: RNAcentral